Molecule: ribosomal RNA, 321 nt
Filed under: Triticum aestivum (bread wheat)
Lineage: Eukaryota; Viridiplantae; Streptophyta; Magnoliopsida; Poales; Poaceae
Description: partial small subunit ribosomal RNA
Source: RNAcentral
GAUUUUCUUGUUCUUGGUUCCCCACAAGAUGACUUUUGUCUCAUUAUAUUUGGUAGACCUUUCUUGAACACUGUUAAUGCUAAGAUAGAUUGUGUGAAACAAACUGUCGGUGUUAGUUUUGGUAAUGACUCUCAUGAGUUUAUUUUUUCCAAGUUUAGUAGAAAUCUUCAUGAAAAAGAAUUGCCUAGUAAAGAUGAAUUAAUUGGUCUUGCUUCUAUUGUUGUACCACCUACCGAUCCCUUAGAACAAUAUUUACUAGACCAUAAGAAUGACUUUCAUAUGCAUGAAAGAAAUGAAAUAGUUAAAAUUUUCUUUGAAUAA